Molecule: ribosomal RNA, 291 nt
Filed under: uncultured bacterium
Lineage: Bacteria
Description: partial 16S ribosomal RNA
Rfam family: Bacterial small subunit ribosomal RNA
Source: RNAcentral
GUGGAUUAGAUACCCGGGUAGUCCACGCCGUAAACGAUGGAUGCUAGCCGUUGGUGGGUUUACCCUUCAGUGGCGCAGCUAACGCAUUAAGCAUCCCGCCUGGGGAGUACGGUCGCAAGAUUAAAACUCAAAGGAAUUGACGGGGGCCCGCACAAGCGGUGGAGCAUGUGGUUCAAUUCGAAGCAACGCGCAGAACCUUACCAGCCUUUGACAUCCCGGUCGCGGGCACCAGAGAUGGAGCCCUUCAGUUCGGCUGGACCGGAGACAGGUGCUGCACGUCUGUCGCCAGCU